Long non-coding RNA from Sinocyclocheilus anshuiensis, 125 nucleotides. RefSeq lists it as uncharacterized. NCBI's taxonomy places the organism in Eukaryota, Metazoa, Chordata, Actinopteri, Cypriniformes, Cyprinidae. The record is from RefSeq and is a predicted model, not a curated record. The transcript has 3 exons.
GGGAAUAUUUAAGGGGCCGUGGAACCCUCCCUGGGCCUAACGGGGAAUCUGGAGGCCUCCCUGGGAGGAACUGGGGAUCAGGAGCCCUCCCUGCGCUCAACGGGGAAACAGGAGCCUUCCCUGGG